GUAUAGGUUUUAUUAUUAUUAAUAAAUUAUUAUUAAAUAAUUGUAUUUAAAUAUACAGCCACAGAAGGUGCCAGCCCUGUUAUUUAAUAAUAUUUAUUAAAUUUAUAAAACUUUAGAGUCGUGUUGCUUGGAAGUGCAGCACAAAGUUGGUGAUAAACAUCAUCUAAGGCUAAAUAUUCCUAUGAAUCCGAUAGCGAACAAGUACUGUGAAGGAAAAUUGCAAAGUACUCCGGAGAGAGAGUUAAAGAGGACGUGAAACCGAUACGAUGGAAGCAUACAGAGCCAGUUGCACUAUUAUUAAUAUUUUUUUAUUAAUAAUUUUAAGCAUGGGUAUAUUGAUUAUUAAUUAGUUAUUUAUUAAAGAGUGAUAAAAUUUUUUAAAUUUUGUUAACUUUAAUAAAAUAAUUAUAUUUAUAAUUAAUAUUUAUUAUUAUUAAUGUAUUAAUAAUAUUUUAAUUAUUAAUAUAAUAUAAGACACAUGUGUUAAAUAUUAUUUAUUAAUAAUUAUUAUAUUAUUAUAAAUUAAUAA
Molecule: ribosomal RNA, 529 nt
Filed under: Strongyloides stercoralis
Lineage: Eukaryota; Metazoa; Nematoda; Chromadorea; Rhabditida; Strongyloididae
Description: partial 28S ribosomal RNA
Rfam family: Eukaryotic large subunit ribosomal RNA (bases 1-338)
Source: RNAcentral